AGUUCGAUUAUGGCUCAGAUUGAACGCUGGCGGGAUGCUUUACAUGCAAGUCGAACGGCAGCACGGACUUCGGUCUGGUGGCGAGUGGCGAACGGGUGAGUAAUGUAUCGGAACGUGCUAGUAGCGGGGGAUAACUACGCGAAAGCGUAGCUAAUACCGCAUACGCCCUUCGGGGGAAAAGCGGGGACCUUCGGGCCUCGCACUAUUAGAGCGGCCGAUAUCGGAUUGGCUAGUUGGUGGGGUAACGGCUCUGCAGGCGACGAUCCGUAGCUGGUUUGAGAGGACGACCAGCCACACUGGGACUGAGACACGGCCCAGACUCCUACGGGAGGCAGCAGUGGGGAAUUUUGGACAAUGGGGGAAACCCUGAUCCAGCCAUCCCACGUGUGCGAUGAAGGCCUUCCCGGGUUGUAAAGCACUUUUUGGCAGGAAAGAAACGCUGGGAUAAUACCCGUGCAACUGACGGUACAGAAUAAGCACCGGCUAACUACGUGCCAACAGCCACUGACGGUAAUACGUAAGUGCAAAGCGUUAAUCGGAAUUACUGGGCGUAAAGCGUGCGCAGGCGGUUCGGAAAGAAGAUGUGAAAUCCCAGAGCUUAACUUUGGAACUGCAUUUUUAACUACCGAGCUAAGAGUGUGUCAGAGGAGGUGGAAUUCCGCGUGUAGCAGUGAAAUGCGUAGAUAUGCGGAGGAACACCGAUGGCGAAGACAGCCUCCUGGGAUAACACUGACGCUCAUGCACAGCGUGAAACAAACAGGAUUAAGAUACCCUGGUAGUCCACGCCCUAAACGAUGUCAACUAGCUGUUGGGGCCUUCGGGCCUUGGUAGCGCAGCUAACGCGUGAAGUUGACCGCCUGGGGAGUACGGUCGCAAGAUUAGAAACUCAAAGGAAUUGACGGGGACCCGCACAAGCGGUGGAUGAUGUGGAUUAAUUCGAUGCAACGCGAAAAACCUUACCUACCCUUGACAUGUCUGGAAUCCCGAAGAGAUUUGGGAGUGCUCGCAAGAGAACCGGAACACAGGUGCUGCAUGGCUGUCGUCAGCUCGUGUCGUGAGAUGUUGGGUUAAGUCCCACCAGGCGCAACCCUUGUCAUUAGUUGCUACGAAGGGCACUCUAAUGAGACUGCCGGUGACAAACCGGAGGAAGGUGGGGAUGACGUCAGAGUCCUCAUGGCCCUUAUGGGUAGGGCUUCACACGUCAUACAAUGGUCGGGACAGAGGGUCGCCAACCCGCGAGGGGGAGCCAAUCCAGAGAAACCCGAUCGUAGUCCGGAUCGCAGUCUGCAACUCGACUGCGUGAAGUCGGAAUCGCUAGUAAUCGCGGAUCAGCAUGUCGCGGUGAAUACGUUCCCGGGUCUUCCAAUACACACCGCCCGUCACACCAUGGGAGUGGGUUUUACCAGAAGUAGUUAGCCUAACCGUAAGGAGGCGAUUACCACGGUAGGAUUCAUGACUGGGAUUGAAGUCGUAACAAGGUAG
Molecule: ribosomal RNA, 1482 nt
Filed under: uncultured Bordetella sp.
Lineage: Bacteria; Pseudomonadati; Pseudomonadota; Betaproteobacteria; Burkholderiales; Alcaligenaceae
Description: partial 16S-23S ribosomal RNA intergenic spacer
Rfam family: Bacterial small subunit ribosomal RNA
Source: RNAcentral